This 136-nucleotide ribosomal RNA is filed under the name Nannospalax galili (Upper Galilee mountains blind mole rat). Lineage: Eukaryota; Metazoa; Chordata; Mammalia; Rodentia; Spalacidae. The record is from RNAcentral.
GUCUAUAGUCAGACCACCCUAAACGUGUUUGAUCUCAAAAGCUAAGCAGGGUUGGGCCUGGUUAGUACGUGGAUGGGAAAAUCAGAAAGAAUGAAUUAGUUCCCCAUUACUAAGGAGAAGGCAGCCUCCAUAAACC